AUCUAAAUAGUUUAAUAAAAAUGUUGGUUUGUGGUGCCUAUGAUAUAGAUAUCUAUUUUAGAUU
This 64-nucleotide transfer RNA is filed under the name Apicotermes occultus. Its description in RNAcentral is "tRNA-His". The record is from RNAcentral. Lineage: Eukaryota; Metazoa; Arthropoda; Insecta; Blattodea; Termitidae.